Molecule: small RNA, 106 nt
Filed under: Salmonella enterica
Lineage: Bacteria; Pseudomonadati; Pseudomonadota; Gammaproteobacteria; Enterobacterales; Enterobacteriaceae
Also listed under: 2 other names
Description: partial RtT sRNA
Rfam family: RtT RNA
About the family: This family represents a bacterial cis-regulatory element known as RtT RNA. The exact function of RtT is unknown although it is thought that it may be involved in changing the cellular response in relation to amino acid starvation.
Source: RNAcentral
AUAUCUCUCUGUACGGGAAGGAUGAGAAGCUUCGACCAAGGUUCGAUUCGAGCGCAGCGAGAAAGCGUUGCCGCAGGCAACGACCCGAAGGGCGAAGCGCGCAGCG